This 497-nucleotide ribosomal RNA is filed under the name Cladosporium cladosporioides. RNAcentral describes it as "eukaryotic LSU rRNA". The stretch from base 143 to 296 matches the Rfam family "5.8S ribosomal RNA". Lineage: Eukaryota; Fungi; Ascomycota; Dothideomycetes; Cladosporiales; Cladosporiaceae. The record is from RNAcentral.
UCUACCACCGGGAUGUUCAUAACCCUUUGUUGUCCGACUCUGUUGCCUCCGGGGCGACCCUGCCUUCGGGCGGGGGCUCCGGGUGGACACUUCAAACUCUUGCGUAACUUUGCAGUCUGAGUAAACUUAAUUAAUAAAUUAAAACUUUUAACAACGGAUCUCUUGGUUCUGGCAUCGAUGAAGAACGCAGCGAAAUGCGAUAAGUAAUGUGAAUUGCAGAAUUCAGUGAAUCAUCGAAUCUUUGAACGCACAUUGCGCCCCCUGGUAUUCCGGGGGGCAUGCCUGUUCGAGCGUCAUUUCACCACUCAAGCCUCGCUUGGUAUUGGGCAACGCGGUCCGCCGCGUGCCUCAAAUCGACCGGCUGGGUCUUCUGUCCCCUAAGCGUUGUGGAAACUAUUCGCUAAAGGGUGUUCGGGAGGCUACGCCGUAAAACAACCCCAUUUCUAAGGUUGACCUCGGAUCAGGUAGGGAUACCCGCUGAACUUAAGCAUAUCAAA